RNAcentral lists this ribosomal RNA (1338 nucleotides) under Boletus sp. 2C1. RNAcentral's name for it is "eukaryotic LSU rRNA". The stretch from base 730 to 1338 matches the Rfam family "Eukaryotic large subunit ribosomal RNA", at positions 1 to 607 of the family's 3401-position model. The record is from RNAcentral. Lineage: Eukaryota; Fungi; Basidiomycota; Agaricomycetes; Boletales; Boletaceae.
AGGAUCAUUAUUGAACUUUGAGAGAAGAAAGGAAGACGGAAUGUGUCUAUUGUCGCUGGCUUGCUUUGCAUGUGCACAUCUUCACUAUCCGUCCACCUUUCUCUCAUUCAUUCAUUUACACCUGUGCACCCGUUGUAGCUUCUCUCGAUAGAGAAUCUAUGUUUUUUCGCAUGUCUAUAGAAGAAUGUUAUCAAAGCCUGUCGAUCAGGCUUUGUCCUGGUCGCUUGCUUAAUAAAAUCAUAUAUAACUUUCAGCAACGGAUCUCUUGGCUCUCGCAUCGAUGAAGAACGCAGCGAAUUGCGAUAAGUAAUGUGAAUUGCAGAUUUCCAGUGAAUCAUCGAAUCUUUGAACGCACCUUGCGCUCCUUGGUAUUCCGAGGAGCAUGCCUGUUUGAGUGUCACCGAAUUAUCAACCAUCUCUUGAUCAAUUUCAAGAUCUUGGCUUGGAGUUGGGACUUGCUGGCAUGCUGGGACAAUCCCUAGUCAGCUCUCCUAAAAUUCAUUAGCGAUGGCUUGCUAGUCUUUUGAUGUGCACGGCCUUUCGACGUGAUAACGAUCUCGUCGUGGCUGGAGCGUCUUAUUUAGACCAUGCAUAAAUGGCCCAUGGCUUAUAAUAUUUGAAUUCACUUGUCUUGAAAGUCUACCAAGCUUUAGUUACUAGUCAGUCUACAAGGUCUGGCGAACACAGAGCAAGGUUUUUCUUGACUUGUAUAUUUACCUUUUGGAAGCUUGACCUCAAAUCAGGUAGGAUUACCCGCUGAACUUAAGCAUAUCAAUAAGCGGAGGAAAAGAAACUAACAAGGAUUCCCCUAGUAACUGCGAGUGAAGCGGGAAGAGCUCAAAUUUUGAAUCUGGCGGUCUUUGGCCGUCCGAGUUGUAAUCUAGAGAAGUGUUUUCCGCGCUGGACCCAUGUACAAGUCUCCUGGAAGGGAGCGUCAUAGAGGGUGAGAAUCCCGUCUUUGACAUGGACUACCAGUGCUAUGUGAUGCGCUCUCAACGAGUCGAGUUGUUUGGGAAUGCAGCUCAAAAUGGGUGGUAAAUUCCAUCUAAAGCUAAAUACAGGCGAGAGACCGAUAGCGAACAAGUACCGUGAGGGAAAGAUGAAAAGAACUUUGGAAAGAGAGUUAAAUAGUACGUGAAAUUGCUGAAAGGGAAACGCUUGAUGUCAGUCGCGUCGAUCAGGGAUCAACCUUGCAUUUUUGCUGGGUGCAUUUUCUGCUCAACGGGUCAGCAUCAGUUUGACUUGCUGUACAAUGGUGAAGGAAAUGUAGCACUCUUUGGAGUGUGUUAUAGUCUUUCGUCGUAUGCAGUGAUUGGAACUGAGGAACUCGGCACGACU